This is a long non-coding RNA of Bos taurus (domestic cattle), 498 nucleotides long. NCBI's taxonomy places the organism in Eukaryota, Metazoa, Chordata, Mammalia, Artiodactyla, Bovidae. The record is from Ensembl.
AGAUGGAAAUAAAGGAAAGAAGAAAAACAUCUAGCUACUUUCAGGCUCGUCCACCUGCAUCAGGUUUUUCCUGCCUCGUGCUUAGUCGUGCUCUUUGUGACCCCAUGGACUGUAGCCCACCAGGCUCCUCUGUCCAUGGAAUUCCCCAGGGACUGAACACAGCUGCUGGCACCCUCAUGCUUUCCUGGAUGUUGCCGAUAUAUCUGUUUACUAAGUCAACGUCUAAACCCAGGUGGACACAGAUGAAGGCAGGGCCCCUUAGUCCAAAGCCCUCAGCUCACUCACCAUGGAGAACUGAAAAUUCAUCCUGCAGCACUUCCUACCCCAGGGAGAGCUCUCGUUCCUUUGAUCCUCAUGAUUCAUUUGAUCCAAUCAAACACUAGUUCAUUCUCACGUCCCCCAUGUUCAGUGAACACAAAGUGAACAUUAAUUUGUCUUCUCUCUGGAGUUCUUUUUAUAUCAUUGGGAUCAAUGAUGAGAUUCCCCCUGCCACCCCCA